GGGUAAUUUUCCGCAAUGGGCGCAAGCCUGACGGAGCAAUACCGCGUGAGGGAGGAAGGCUCUUGGGUCGUAAACCUCUUUUCUCAGGGAAGAACAAAAUGACGGUACCUGAGGAAUCAGCAUCGGCUAACUCCGUGCCAGCAGCCGCGGUAAUACGGAGGAUGCAAGCGUUAUCCGGAAUGAUUGGGCGUAAAGCGUCCGUAGGUGGUUAUGUAAGUCUGUGGUUAAAGCGUGGGGCUCAACCCCAUAAAGGCCAUGGAAACUACAAGACUUGAGUGAAGUAGGGGUAGAGGGAAUUCCCAGUGUAGCGGUGAAAUGCGUAGAGAUUGGGAAGAACACCGGUGGCGAAAGCGCUCUACUGGACUUAAACUGACACUGAGGGACGAAAGCUAGGGGAGCGAAAGGGAUUAGAUACCCCUGUAGUCCUAGCCGUAAACGAUGGAUACUAGGUGUUGCCCGUAUCGACCCGGGCAGUGCCGUAGCUAACGCGUUAAGUAUCC
This 500-nucleotide ribosomal RNA is filed under the name uncultured cyanobacterium. Its description in RNAcentral is "bacterial SSU rRNA". It matches the Rfam family "Bacterial small subunit ribosomal RNA", at positions 356 to 869 of the family's 1533-position model. The record is from RNAcentral. Lineage: Bacteria; Bacillati; Cyanobacteriota.